This 253-nucleotide ribosomal RNA is filed under the name uncultured bacterium. RNAcentral's name for it is "partial 16S ribosomal RNA". It matches the Rfam family "Bacterial small subunit ribosomal RNA", at positions 524 to 776 of the family's 1533-position model. The record is from RNAcentral.
GACAGAGGUCCCGAGCGUUAGGCGGAAUCACUGGGCUUAAAGCGUGUGUAGGCGGAUGCCUAAGUACCUUGUGAAAUCCCACGGCUUAACCGUGGAACUGCUUGGUAUACUGGGUGUCUUGAGCCACCUAGGGGCAAGCGGAACAAAUGGUGGAGCGGUGAAAUGCGUAGAUAUCAUUUGGAACGCCAAUGGUGAAAACAGCUUGCUGGGGGUGUGCUGACGCUGAGACACGAAAGCCAGGGGAGCAAACGGG